UUCUUACCCAGAAAACCGCUUCUGGGAAAUUGCCGUUCCCGAGGUUGGACACACGAGGGCAGUCAAGCUCCAUCCAGCGCAACACACAACGCCGCCUGAAACAGAAGGCCUGCUCAGACACCACAGCGUUUAAAAACCUCGAGAUUCCCGGCGUCAUAAAGAGAACAACCGUCAAACAUACCAUCAGUUCUGGAUCUUCUCGAGUGAAAUAGAUGAGGCCACCUACGGAACGCAUUAAUUUACAUACACAGCAAAAUCCACAGAAAGAAAUCAACUCUAUUGGAUUUAAUGUAAACACUUUUAAAGUGUCCGGAGGGGUCCACACUCCACAUUGGGAUUUUAACACUUUAAUAGAGUUCACAUCAACUCUUUGUAUAGUUGCAACUGAACACUACUCAAGUGUUAGUUUCUCAACACCAGUGGGUAGUGUUAGAAAUUAAUUCUCAUAGGAGUAAUUCAUUAAAUCUCAUAGUGGUAAUUGCAUACUAUUAAAUGAGUUGCCUCUAACACUAUAAAGUGUUAAUAUGCUACUGCACAAUUAAAAUUACAUUUAAAUGAUUACAAAUCUAAAAGGCAAAUAAAGGGAAAAAAAAAACAAGUUGAUUGCUUUAUAAUGGUUUUAUUUUUUCAAGGGCGUUAACAUUACUGACCCCUCAUGUCAAGUCUUUCUAAAUAUAACAAUUGGGCACUAUGUACUCUCUUUGAUUAAUCUCAUUAGAGCACUGCUGGUCAAAUGGCUGGUCAAAAAUGUGUCAGUUCGUUCACAGAGAUGACAGAAAACUCAUCCAUUUGGUUAUCUUCCAUAGAGUAUGCAUUGAAGUGGUCAUCAUAGAACAUAGUGCUUUCAUAAUUUCCUGUAAUGUAAAAACACUCUUCAUAUAUUAUUAUCUCACAGACCUUUUUGAACACAGGGAGAUCAUAGGUACAUCCAGUGCAUAUGAACAAACCAACCUGAUACUCAGUACCAUAAUGUCUGACCCACUUUGUACUUGUAACACUCAAACAGGCUUCUAAAUAUAAUGUCUGACUGAGUUCUUCCCCACCUUGCAAGUUACAGAUGGUUUUUGAUGUAGGGCCAAAUUAAAAACAAUUAAAACCUUCUAAAACAAUCAUUUUCACAGUUAAAUAUCAAUUGACGAUGUUGCUUUACUAAUGAUUUAAUGAGAUUCUUGAAAUUUUUGCCACAUCUUUUGAAAAUAUGGUGCUUAGCUUCAAAUCGCAUUCACCACAUAUGGAUAAGAGGGCCAAUUUUUUUAUGCAUCUCAGAUAGUGCAUCAUCAAGUGGUGCUUGGGAAUCGACCUCUUGUCAGGAAACAAUUCUUUGAAUAGAGUAUGGUGAUCACAGAUCAGAUGUUUUAAGUAACAUAUCAUCCCAUCAGUUAUGGUGUAGGAGAACACUAUAUUGACAAUCUGUAUCGAAAGCAGGAGAAAGUUCCAGUGAUUGUUAUUCCUUUCAAUGACCACCAAAUAUCAGUGGAGUGUUGUGCAGAAGACACCAUAACUGUAUGGCAUUCAAACCCAGGUGUUUGCCCUUAUCAUCCAUUUUUAACCCACUUGGUUUGUUUUUACAGUCUGUGUAACCAUAAUUAAAGCUCUGUAUCCUAUUUGACAAUGUGUUCAAAGAGACAUAGUCCUGUUUAACAAGGUACUC
Molecule: long non-coding RNA, 1651 nt
Organism: Ictalurus furcatus (blue catfish)
Lineage: Eukaryota; Metazoa; Chordata; Actinopteri; Siluriformes; Ictaluridae
Exons: 3
Source: RefSeq, a predicted model, not a curated record